GUUGAACGCUAGCGGCAGGCUUAACACAUGCAAGUCGAGGGGCAGCAUAAAUAGUAGCAAUACUAUUGGUGGCGACCGGCGGACGGGUGCGUAACGCGUAUACAACCUUCCCUAAACAGGGGGAUAAUCUGGAGAAAUUCGGUCUAAUACCCCAUAACAUCAGAGCAGGCAUCUGUUUUGGUUAAAAUUUCCGGAGGUUUAGGAUGGGUAUGCGUAGCAUUAGCUAGUUGGUGAGGUAACGGCUCGCCAAGGCGACGAUGCUUAGGGGGACUGAGAGGUUAACCCCCCACACUGGUACUGAGACACGGACCAGACUCCUACGGGAGGCAGCAGUGAGGAAUAUUGGUCAAUGGGCGGAAGCCUGAACCAGCCAUGCCGCGUGCAGGAUGACGGCUCUAUGAGUUGUAAACUGCUUUUGUACGAGGGUAAAGUGGGCUACGUGUAGCCUUUUGAAAGUAACGUACGAAUAAGGAUCGGCUAACUCCGUGCCAGCCGCCGCCGUAA
Molecule: ribosomal RNA, 504 nt
Filed under: uncultured bacterium
Lineage: Bacteria
Description: partial 16S ribosomal RNA
Rfam family: Bacterial small subunit ribosomal RNA
Source: RNAcentral